Molecule: non-coding RNA, 688 nt
Organism: Miniopterus natalensis
Lineage: Eukaryota; Metazoa; Chordata; Mammalia; Chiroptera; Miniopteridae
Source: RefSeq, a predicted model, not a curated record
AAUAUUGAUGAAUCUGGGCUCCUGCUCACUCUGGACAGCAAGCAGACUCUUGCUAAAGGAGGCAGAAAAGAAUUCCCAGUAAGCUGGAUGUGUUCUGGGAGUCCCCUCCAUGGACAAAUCUGUAAUCAGAUUUGGGGGUGUGGGAGGUCUCUCUGUUGUCAUGGUGAUUUUUUUAAAAAAGUUUCUUCUUUAAAACAUCCCAGACAUCAAGACUCUGAAGUAAUGGCCCUUUGAAAAUUGAACCAUAUUAAUAAGAUCUACCCGACUGAACAAUGUGUUUCUUUCUUUCUUUUUAUUAGAUGCAUUAUUAACUUGGCUAGCGGCAAGACCUCCUCAAUGCUAAGUGCCCAUCCAUAAAGAACACCAUUUCCAGCCCAGAAUAAAUGAGGAUGCUGAUGGCUGGUGUGAUGAAGUCAGAUUGUGAGCUACACUGUAGGUGGACACUAGCCAACAGCCAGAAAGGAACUGAAACCCUCAGUCCAACAGCCCAUGGGGAACUGAGUCCUGCCAACGUGAGCUUGGAAGUAGAUUCUUCCCCAAUCAGAUCUCCAGAUGGGACUCCAGCCCUGGUCAACUCCUUGGUUGAAGCCUCAUGGGAAAUCCUGAAGCAGGAGCCUCAGCUAAGCCAGACCUGGAAUCCUGACCCCACACACACUCUGAGAUAAUAAAUAUGUGUUGUUUUAAGCCA